GGAAGUAAAAGUUAACAAGGUCUCCGUUGGUGAACCAGCGGAGGGAUCAUUAUCGAGUUUAUAACUCCCAAACCCUAUGUGAACUUACCACUUGUUGCUUCGGCGCGCGCUUCGGUGCCGCCGAGGACACUUAAACUCUUUGUUUUUAUAAGCAUUUCUGAGUGGCCGAAAGGCAAAAUACAAAUGAAUCAAAGCUUUCAACAACGGAUCUCUUGGUUCUG
Molecule: unclassified non-coding RNA, 221 nt
Filed under: plant metagenome
Description: partial contains small subunit ribosomal RNA, internal transcribed spacer 1, and 5.8S ribosomal RNA
Rfam family: Eukaryotic small subunit ribosomal RNA (bases 1-52)
Source: RNAcentral